GAAAUUUAAUUUUUAUUAAGUUUAUUAGUUAAUUUUAAUUUUUAAAAAAAGAAUUUUUAAAUUUUAUUAUAUUUUAGAAAAAUUUUUAUUUAUUAUAGUUUAUAGUAUUGUAUAAGAAAUAAUUGUUUUAUUUAAAAGAAAAAUUUAAAUUUUGUACCUUGUGUAUCAGGGUUAAUUUAAAUAAUUUUUUUAUUUAAGUAUUCUCGAAUUUAAAAGAGUUAAUUAGAAAUAUAUUUUAUUGUGAAAUAAAUAUUUAAAAUUUUUAAUUAGAAAUGAAACGUUAUUCGUUUUUAAAUAUAUCUAGUUUUUAAAGAAAUAAAUUUAAUUUAAUUAUUAAUAAAUAAAAUUUUAAUUAAUUAAUUUUUUAUUUAUUAAUAUUAAAUUUUUAUAGGGAUAAGCUUAUAAAAAAAAAGUUAUAAUAAAAUAAUUAUUAAAAUAAAUUGUAAGAUUAAGAAUUUCUAUAAGUAAAAAAUUGUUAUAAUUAAUUAUUUUAAAAAUAAAAUUUUUAUUUUAUUUAAUUUUUAUAUUUAAAUAUAAGUUUUAAUAUAGAAUAUUUAGUAAUAAUGAUUAAAUUAGUAUAAAAUUAUGUUAAGUAAAAUUUAAAGUUAAGGUUAAGUUAAGGAAUUCGGCAAAUUUAUUUUUCACCUGUUUAUUAAAAACAUGUCCUUUUGAUUAUAAUUUAAGGUCUGGUCUGCCCACUGAGUAGUUAAAUGGCCGCGGUAUUUUGACCGUGCAAAGGUAGCAUAAUAAUUAGUUUCUUAAUUAGGAGCUGGAAUGAAAGAUUUGAUGAGAAAAUAGCUGUCUCGAUUUGAAUUAAUUAGAAUUUUAUUUUUAAGUAAAAAAGCUUAAAUAUUAUUAAAAGACGAGAAGACCCUAUAGAGUUUUAUAAAAAAUUUUUAUAGAAAUUUUUAUUUAAUUUUUUUUAUAAUUUUUUUUUAUUUUGUUGAGGUGAUAGAAAAAUUUAAAUAACUUUUUUUUUAUUAUAACACUU
RNAcentral lists this ribosomal RNA (991 nucleotides) under Eunatalis sp. 1 NLG-2013. RNAcentral's name for it is "partial 16S ribosomal RNA". Lineage: Eukaryota; Metazoa; Arthropoda; Insecta; Coleoptera; Cleridae. The record is from RNAcentral.